GGUAAUGCCGGGCGAGUGGCCGGGGUAGUAAGGAAGGGGCGAGGGUGGUUAGGAAUUACUGGGCGGAAAGCGCGGGUAGGCGGCCAUGCAAGUGAGGCGUGAAAGGCCUGGGCUCAACCUGGGAACUGCGCGUCAGACUGCACGGCUUGAGUCCGGGAGAGGGUGGUGGAAUUCCCAGUGUAGAGGUGAAAUGCGUAGAUAUGCGGAGGAACACCGAUGGCGAAGGCAAUCCCCUGGGCCUGCACUGACGCUCAUGCACGAAAGCGUGGGGAGCAAACAGGAUUAGAUACCCUAGUAGUC
RNAcentral lists this ribosomal RNA (300 nucleotides) under uncultured Ferroglobus sp. Its description in RNAcentral is "bacterial SSU rRNA". It matches the Rfam family "Bacterial small subunit ribosomal RNA", at positions 496 to 795 of the family's 1533-position model. The record is from RNAcentral. Lineage: Archaea; Methanobacteriati; Methanobacteriota; Archaeoglobi; Archaeoglobales; Archaeoglobaceae.